UGGGGAAUAUUGCACAAUGGGCGCAAGCCUGAUGCAGCCAUGCCGCGUGUAUGAAGAAGGCCUUCGGGUUGUAAAGUACUUUCAGCGGGGAGGAAGGUGUUGAGGCUAAUAACCUCAGCAAUUGACGUUACCCGCAGAAGAAGCACCGGCUAACUCCGUGCCAGCAGCCGCGGUAAUACGGAGGGUGCAAGCGUUAAUCGGAAUUACUGGGCGUAAAGCGCACGCAGGCGGUCUGUCAAGUGGGAUGUGAAAUCCCCGGGCUCAACCUGGGAACUGCAUUCGAAACUGGCAGGCUAGAGUCUUGUAGAGGGGGGUAGAAUGCCAGGUGUAGCGGUGAAAUGCGUAGAGAUCUGGAGGAAUACCGGUGGCGAAGGCGGCCCCCUGGACAAAGACUGACGCUCAGGUGCGAAAGCGUGGGGAGCAAACA
Molecule: ribosomal RNA, 427 nt
Filed under: uncultured bacterium
Lineage: Bacteria
Description: partial 16S ribosomal RNA
Rfam family: Bacterial small subunit ribosomal RNA
Source: RNAcentral